AUGGAAGUCGUGCAGAUGGACGAUGCAAGUGAUGCAUGUUAUGAGCAUAUGCAUGCAGGCCUGGAAGCUCUCCUGGUGAGUGGGGCACCGUUGGCAGCUAGUAGGGAUGGUCUGGCAUUUGAGGAUAGAUUGGUCGAAAGAGCUGAAGCAAGGAGCAAUGGGAAUAUGGAAAAUGCGGCUGCUAUGAGUGUCGCACGGCAAUAUCAUAGUGCUGGGCAUUCUGGUAGUGUCAACGGCCUCCACGGCCUCGAAGCCCCCAACAGGCAAAGAGGCGCAGGGAGGCCGACAAACAGCAGAGACAAAGCCCCGUACGAAGGGUUAAGCAAGCGAACCAGGUUCUGCAGCAUUUGUCGUCGCGAAGGUCACAAAAGGAUGACAUGCCCGGAGAGGGGUGACGCUCCAAAGAAGCCGAGGAAGCCAAGAAAAUGCAAGAACUGUGGAAUAGAAGGUCAUCGACGAAACACCUGCAAGCGACCACUUGGUUUAGCAGAGUAG
RNAcentral lists this ribosomal RNA (495 nucleotides) under Triticum aestivum (bread wheat). RNAcentral's name for it is "partial small subunit ribosomal RNA". Lineage: Eukaryota; Viridiplantae; Streptophyta; Magnoliopsida; Poales; Poaceae. The record is from RNAcentral.